Molecule: long non-coding RNA, 519 nt
Filed under: Phoenix dactylifera (date palm)
Lineage: Eukaryota; Viridiplantae; Streptophyta; Magnoliopsida; Arecales; Arecaceae
Description: long non-coding RNA (PDAC_LNC017169)
Source: RNAcentral
GAGAGAGAGAGAGAGAGAGAGAGAGGACGAGAGGAGGAGGAGAACCAGAAGGGGAGGAAAAAAAUGUACUUUGUUUGAGACGGGGGCUGUGUGGGAGGGGAGAGAGAGAGACAGAGGCAUAUAAUAGAGUUGUUUUGGGAGUAAAGAUUGUGAGAAAGCUUUGGUUUUUUUAUUUCCUUUAAUUUUUUUGAUUGUUCCACUGGCUAAUGAUCUUCGUUAUAGCAGCGUUUGGAGAGAGAAAUCCGACAUCGCCAUAAAGAAAAAGAGCGAAAUUAGAAGAGACGAGAAUGAUUUUUCUUAUAUAAUUGAAUUUAAUUUGGAGGGUUGGCUUUUUUGGGAGGGGGCUGGCUGAUGGAAACGUAUAUACCCUUUGGAGGCAAACCUACCGACAGGAGACUGAAAGUUCCCGACAGCGUUUCAGGCAACGUUCGCUCCGUAUAUAAUUUGAUUUUGUUCCUUUUUUUUAUAUAUUAGGAGUUCUGAUAAGUGUGCUGUUCUUUUCCAUCGUCUGCCCUCAAA